AUUGAACGCUGGCGGCAUGCCUUACACAUGCAAGUCCGAACGGUAGCGCGGGGCAACCUGGCGACGAGUGGCGAACGGGUGAGUAAAGCAUCGGAACGUGCCCUGGAAUGGGGGGAUAACGUAGCGAAAGUUACGCUAAUACCGCAUAUUCUGUGAGCAGGAAAGCAGGGGAUCGCAAGACCUUGCGUUCUGGGAGCGGCCGAUGUCGGAUUAGCUAGUUGGUGGGGUAAAAGCCUACCAAGGCGACGAUCCGUAGCGGGUCUGAGAGGAUGAUCCGCCACACUGGGACUGAGACACGGCCCAGACUCCUACGGGAGGCAGCAGUGGGGAAUUUUUGGACAAUGGGCGGAAGCCUGAUCCAGCCAUGCCGCGUGAGUGAAGAAAGCCUUCGGGUUGUAAAGCUCUUUCGGUGGGGAAGAAAUUGCACGGGUUAAUACCCUGUGUAGAUGACGGUACCCGACUAAGAAGCACCGGCUAACUACGUGCCAGCAGCCGCGGUAAU
Molecule: ribosomal RNA, 502 nt
Filed under: uncultured bacterium
Lineage: Bacteria
Description: bacterial SSU rRNA
Rfam family: Bacterial small subunit ribosomal RNA
Source: RNAcentral